GUUACAUCUCAGCAAACCAGGUGGGGUCACCCACCACACAAAGCCUACGCUCCCUACUUUUCCUCCACCGACCAUCAAUCCUUCCCCGUUGGACCGUGACAUACACACCUCUCCUCUGCGAUUCACGAUUCCACCCACACUCUCUCUCCUCUGAUACUCCAAAAACCGCAUCACUAGAGAAAGAUUGUUCAUUUUCCUGUUUUGUGCCAUUUUUCGCCACCACAACUUCCAACAAAAACACCCCACACUUCACUCGCAUGUUCUCGGAGCUCCGGCUCCAUUAACGGAGCCUCUGCUCUCCUUCAUAUAUCUAUAUAUAUAUAUAUAUAUAUAUAUAUACACACAAAUUAUUCUGGGUCGUCUUUUCUUUUCUUCAGAUCUCGAAAGGAACUGUUAGUGCGAUAAUGUCGAAACCAUGGGCAAAGAUUGGGGCUUGGGCCGAGGAAGCUGAGUUAGCCGAAGCCGAGGAGAAAGAGCAAGCGGAC
Molecule: long non-coding RNA, 485 nt
Filed under: Panax ginseng (ginseng)
Lineage: Eukaryota; Viridiplantae; Streptophyta; Magnoliopsida; Apiales; Araliaceae
Description: long non-coding RNA (PGIN_LNC011630)
Source: RNAcentral